AAGAUUUGCUCCUAAGAAUUUUGAGGGUAUUCUCAGAAGAUACAUCAAUGAGUAUGUGAUAUGCAAUGGCUGCAAGAGUCCUGAUACUAUACUUUCCAAGGAGAACCGUCUGUUUUUCCUUCGCUGUGAGCAGUGUGGUUCUUCACGGUCAGUGGCACCAAUUAAAGCUGGCUUCGUUGCUCGAGUGGGGCGGCGCAAGGCUGGGGCAUAAGCCUAUUCUCGGGUUUGAGUUUGAGUGGGUCUGUUAUUCCAUUGGAAUCACAGCUAGUGCUUUGUUUCAUCCGACUCAUUUCUGCAUUUCUAGUUUUGUUACAGUUUUGCUUUGAAGUGUUCUUUGCAAUAUGGCUAAACUAUGUAUUUGCAUUUUCAUCCCAAU
This 376-nucleotide unclassified non-coding RNA is filed under the name Hevea brasiliensis (rubber tree). The record is from RNAcentral. Lineage: Eukaryota; Viridiplantae; Streptophyta; Magnoliopsida; Malpighiales; Euphorbiaceae.